UCUUCAAUAAAUUAACCCAAAAAUUGAAACAUGCUAGGUAAAAAUAGCUAAUAGAACAAUAUCAAACCAAAUCAUGUAAACAGUAAACAACCAAGCAGUUUUCUCUCACACUUAUACAUGCAACAUGAAGAAAAGAAAAAGGGGGGAAAUCACAUAUGGAGAAAAGAAACACUAUUUAGUUGCACAAAUAUGUAUCUAUCCACGGUUUCUGAACUUUUACACAAUUUUUGCUAUGGAACUCUGCAAAUGAAAUCAUUUACCAUUGAAUCCUUUCUGAUUUCGUGCUAUUGAGCCUAAUCUUGCUAAUUUGGCAAAAUUAAUCAGAACUGACAUCCAACACAAUGGUGAUAUCACUGACCAUGCCAUCAAAGAGCUAAUGUGGCAUAUGGCAUUUUUUUUAAUCUUUUCAUUUCUUUUUGUUUUGUCAAAAAGACCAAAAUAUUUUUUUUUUUUUUAAAUUAAAAGAUGAUAUCUAAUAUUCUGAUAUUGUGAUUUUAAUUAUCAAGUAUAUAAGCACUGGUUCUCUAAAGAAUACAUAAAUAAUGAUAAAGUAUUAAAAUAACAUAGAAGGGUAAAAAAAUAAAAGUAGUAGUCAGUCAAACCACAGCCUUAUAUAAAGGAGAAACAGGAAAAUAAUAGAACAGUAAUGGUAUUGAAGAACAAAAUCUUCUUCUAUUCACGGAAAUUGACUAUUUUUUUUUUUUUCAAAAGUUGAUAUCUUAUCAUUCUAGGAAAUAAAUAAACACAAACGCACACAACCACACAUAUACAUACCACAUCAGCUCUUAAAUGAUAUAGUGAUGAUGUCAUCCCCGAUUUGAAUAUUGAUUUUGAGCAACUUUGGCAAAAUUGGACACAAUGCACCAAAUAAAAAGGUUUGAAAAUUCAAUAGCAAACAAUUUCACUUGGAGGGCCCAGUACUUUAAACACACAAGUUCAAGUGAGAAAAAAUGGAUUUUGCAAUUUGCCACUACUCAGACAUGCAAAAGCACCUAUAAGCAAAUGUGCAUGUAUGCCAAUGCCACAUAUACAUAAAUAUGAAUCAACAUGAUAAAAUUAACAAUCAACCAAAUGGCCUAGGAAGUGCAUGAAUAAUAACAUGCAUUUUCCAUUUAUGAACUCUAAUAAAGUUUUCAUUUGAAGAAGCAUUUGGUAUUUCUCUAUGAUCUGACUCCAAGUUCCAACUGUAUUAACUGUCAUAUGAAAGCAUACAUCUGGGUUAGGACAUAUUAUAAAUCAUGCCACAAAGGUAAAAUUCCAAUGAUAGCAUUUUAAGAAGGCAGUGAACGAAAUAGAGCCAACCAUCCAAUCAUAACAGAUGAAACAUAAAUCUUCAGUGAUAUAACUUCUUGGCAGGGAAUUGAAAACAGAAAAAUAACCAAAAACAAAAGGUAAACAGUAAACAAUUUAUUAGUUUUCUCCCAUAAAUGUACAAGCAGCAAGAAAUAUUGCCAUAAAAGAAAUAAUACAGAAUAUUAACAACAUUAACACCCAAAAAAAAAUAAAAGGCUAGAAAGUUAAAAAACAGCUAGCCCAACUAAAGAGCUCUGGGAAUAAUAGAAAAACGUACACUGAUACCUUAAUACAUGACAUGAAAAUUACACAAGAA
This 1609-nucleotide unclassified non-coding RNA is filed under the name Hevea brasiliensis (rubber tree). The record is from RNAcentral. Lineage: Eukaryota; Viridiplantae; Streptophyta; Magnoliopsida; Malpighiales; Euphorbiaceae.